GAUGAGCCCGCGGCGGAUUAGCUUGUUGGCGGGGUAAUGGCCCACCAAGGCGACGAUCCGUAGCUGGUCUGAGAGGACGAUCAGCCACACUGGGACUGAGACACGGCCCAGACUCCUACGGGAGGCAGCAGUGGGGAAUCUUGCGCAAUGGGCGAAAGCCUGACGCAGCGACGCCGCGUGCGGGAAGAAGGCCUUCGGGUUGUAAACCGCUUUCAGGAGGGACGAAGCCACUCGGGUUAAUAGCCUAGAGGGUGACGGUACCUCCAGAAGAAGCCCCGGCUAACUACGUGCCAGCAGCCGCGGUAAUACGUAGGGGGCAAGCGUUGUCCGGAUUUAUUGGGCGUAAAGAGCGUGUAGGCGGCCAGACAGGUCCGUUGUGAAACUCGAGGCUCAACCUCGAGACGUCGGUGGAAACCGUCUGGCUAGAGUCCGGAAGAGGAGAGUGGAAUUCCCGGUGUAGCGGUGAAAUGCGCAGAUAUCGGGAGGAACACCCGUGGCGAAGGCGGCUCUCUGGGACGGUACUGACGCUGAGACGCGAAAGCGUGGGGAGCGAACAGGAUUAGAUACCCUGGUAGUCCACGCCGUAAACGAUGGGUGCUAGGUGU
This 605-nucleotide ribosomal RNA is filed under the name uncultured soil bacterium. RNAcentral describes it as "bacterial SSU rRNA". It matches the Rfam family "Bacterial small subunit ribosomal RNA", at positions 224 to 823 of the family's 1533-position model. The record is from RNAcentral.